Molecule: RNA transcript, 2172 nt
Organism: Cucumis sativus (cucumber)
Lineage: Eukaryota; Viridiplantae; Streptophyta; Magnoliopsida; Cucurbitales; Cucurbitaceae
Gene name: delta(8)-fatty-acid desaturase 2
Exons: 2
Source: RefSeq, a predicted model, not a curated record
AAGCCAAUUUGAGAUGCGGGGGAAACGGCACCUAAAGCCUAAAGCCCAGGUUGGUUUUUGUACCGUGUACUUCGCUGUUAACAAUCACGACCUCUCAUUCUUCUCUGUUCAUUCAUUCGAAUCCCUUUCUUCUUUUCUAUAUUAAAGUCUCCUAAAUGCAACAUGCAAUUCAGAAAGAGGGGUUCACACUAUUCUAGAUUCUGAAUCAAUCGAACCCAACUUCCCCCCCUCUCUUCUCCGAAUAGUGGGUUGCAUUUUUCCAUCCAAAGCAACUCCACGAUAAGAAAAAAAAAAAAAAAAAAACGAAGAAACCUUCCAAAAAUUGCUUUUAUUCUCAUCUGGGUUUCUCCUGUUUUCUUUGUUUGAUCUCCUUUUACCAAACUUUGAAGGUCUGGUUUGGAUAUGGAGGUGGAGAAGAAGUACAUUACCUCUGAGGAGCUUCUCAAGCACAACAAACCAGGAGAUCUAUGGAUCUCUAUUCAGGGUAAGGUCUAUAAUGUCACAGAAUGGGCUAAAGAACAUCCUGGUGGUGAUACGCCUUUUAUCAAUUUAGCGGGUCAUGAUGUGACCGAUGCAUUCAUUGCUUAUCAUCCUGGCACCGCUUGGGCGUAUUUGGAUCGGUUGUUUACUGGAUUUCAUCUCAAGGAUUUUCAGGUCUCGGAGAUUUCUAAGGAUUACAGAAAGCUUGCGUCUGAAUUUUCCAAACAAGGUUUGUUUGAGAAGAAGGGGCAUGUUACUAUGUAUUCUUUGAUUUCUGUUGCUGUGAUGAUGUUUCUUGUGGUUUAUGGGGUCUUGAAAUCGGAGAGCGUUUUGGUUCAUUUGGGUUGUGCUAUGAUUUUGGGUAUGCUUUGGAUCCAAAGUGCUUAUGUGGGUCAUGAUUCUGGACAUUCUAAUGUAAUGUCGAGUCGUGGAUUUAACAAAUUGGCUCAAAUUUUGUCUGGAAAUUGUUUGACGGGGAUUAGUAUAGCCUGGUGGAAAUGGACUCAUAAUGCUCAUCACAUCUCCUGCAAUAGCCUUGACCACGAUCCAGAUCUUCAACACAUCCCUGUUUUUGCUGUUUCUACUAGUUUCUUCCGGACUUUGACAUCUCAUUUCUAUGGUAGGAAGCUGGAGUUUGAUUCCUUGGCUAGAUUCUUUGUUAGCUACCAGCAUUUCACAUUUUACCCUGUGAUGUGUGUGGCUAGAGUGAAUCUCUUUGUGCAGACGUUGUUGCUCUUGUUUUCCACUAGAAAAGUUCCUGAUAGAGCAUUGAACAUAAUGGGGAUUCUUGUCUUUUGGACAUGGUUUCCUCUUCUAGUUUCUUAUCUCCCUAAUUGGCCUGAGAGAGUCAUGUUUGUUCUUGCAAGUUUUGCUGUAUGUUCUCUACAGCACAUCCAAUUCUGCCUCAACCAUUUCUCUGCUAAUGUUUAUGUUGGGAAGCCCACUGGGAAUGAUUGGUUUGAGAAGCAAGCAAGUGGGACUUUGGAUAUCUCUUGUUCUACUUGGAUGGAUUGGUUUUUUGGUGGAUUGCAAUUUCAGCUAGAACAUCAUUUAUUCCCAAGGAUGCCCAGAUGCCAGUUGAGGAAAAUCUCUCCAAUUGUGGUCGAACUUUGCAAGAAACACAAUCUUCCAUACAGAAGCUUGUCAUUUUGGGAUGCUAAUGUCCGCACCAUUAGAACUCUUAGAACAGCUGCUUUGCAAGCUAGAGAUUUGACCAAUCCUGUUCCUAAGAACUUGCUCUGGGAAGCUGUGAACACUCAUGGAUGAAGAUGAAGUUGAAGAUGAGGUCAGAUUCUUCAUAGUUCUUAUCUAGAUUUCUCAAGAACGGCAGCAGGUCAUUUCUGGGCUUCUGUAGAGCACGCGGUUUGAAUGUGUCCACAGUUCGGUUCGAUUCAAGUGAUCUUGUUAGAAUAUUGCUCUAGUUGAUCAAACAAGACUUCCGAGUCUACAUACUACAAAUCUUUAUUGCAUUUAUGAGUAAAUUAAUUCCAAUUCCAAUUUAGAGGAGAAAAAUAAAAUCUUCUUGAUCUCUUGUAUAAAUACAGGUAAAUUUGUUUCCAUGCCUUUCAAUGUCUCCUAUAUUCUUUUAAUGUUUAAUUGAAUCUAUACGUUAUAUGUUUGUUCAACGAUACGUGGAGUUGAGAGGUUAUCUUUUGAGUUGAAGAUAUAUAUGAUUGAAUUAAUUCAUCUCUA